CGCUAUCACUCCUACGGGAGGCAGCAGUAGGGAAUCUUCCACAAUGGGCGCAAGCCUGAUGGAGCAACACCGCGUGAGUGAAGAAGGGUUUCGGCUCGUAAAGCUCUGUUGUUAAAGAAGAACACGUAUGAGAGUAACUGUUCAUACGUUGACGGUAUUUAACCAGAAAGUCACGGCUAACUACGUGCCAGCAGCCGCGGUAAUACGUAGGUGCAAGCGUUAUCCGGAUUUAUUGGGCGUAAAGAGAGUGCAGGCGGUUUUCUAAGUCUGAUGUGAAAGCCUUCGGCUUAACCGGAGAAGUGCAUCGGAAACUGGAUAACUUGAGUGCAGAAGAGGGUAGUGGAACUCCAUGUGUAGCGGUGGAAUGCGUAGAUAUAUGGAAGAACACCAGUGGCGAAGGCGGCUACCUGGUCUGCAACUGACGCUGAGACUCGAAAGCAUGGGUAGCGAACAGGAUUAGAUACCCUGGUAG
Molecule: ribosomal RNA, 472 nt
Filed under: uncultured bacterium
Lineage: Bacteria
Description: bacterial SSU rRNA
Rfam family: Bacterial small subunit ribosomal RNA
Source: RNAcentral